Long non-coding RNA from Grus americana (Whooping crane), 1764 nucleotides. RefSeq lists it as uncharacterized. NCBI's taxonomy places the organism in Eukaryota, Metazoa, Chordata, Aves, Gruiformes, Gruidae. The record is from RefSeq and is a predicted model, not a curated record. The transcript is spliced from 3 exons.
GCCUGGGGGCUGCAGGCACCUCGUUUGGGCAGGGACUUACAAAAGCCAGGAGCAUUUCACUUCAUUUUGCAGGUUGUUUCUCAUUUCUCGUUCCGUUUCUGGCAGCGUGUAAUAUUUCUGCUGGUUAGAAGCUGUCCUAUGGUGCAGAGGCCCCAUGAAGAAGGUUACGUACCAGUGAGGACUCGGAUCUGCGGGUCUGAAUCAUCCUUUUACUUAGCUGCUCGCAGUGAUGCAAUGUGCGUGCAGAUUGCGGGCGGUGUAUUUCGCAUCGACUCGUUGGUGUGUAAAUGAGCGUGCUCGGUGCAGCCUGCAGCCAGGCUGCGCUUUCCACGGCACAGAUAGCUCUGCCCUUUGCUGCUUCUCUGCUGUGAUGGAGUUUGGGGCUCCGGGAGCACCUCGGGGACCUGUUAACCCCUGGGGAGCUCCGGCACCGGGACGGGAUGCACCGAGCAGUGGUUGUGCCUUGGGAAGCAGCAAGGGAAUCAUUGCACAAGACCAGCUUGUUUGAAAGGAAGGUUUUGUAAAUCGUGUUCACUUUGUUGGUGAUCUGCAAGGGAUGACUCCUCUUUGCCAGGCAGGGAUGGCAGGAAACCGUCCAAGAGACACAGGCUGUUCCUUUUCCUGCCCGUGGGACGUGUGACAUGACAAAACCACAACCCACACCAGACUCCCUGCCCCAUUUUCCCUCCACAAAUGCUGAAUAAUUUUGUCCCUUCUUCAUGAACAUGGGGAAAAUCCUCAGUCCGUGUGUCUCUGCUUUGGCACCUCUGGCAGCUCCCUGUGCCCCGGGGUGGCCCUGAUGUGGGAUACAGAGCAGGAGCAGAAAGGAUUCCUCGUGACGCUGCUCCUCAGGGUUAAAAUUUAACCUGUUCCUACCUGGAAACAGCACCAUAUUUCAGGCUGAUUCAUACUAUUUCUUAUUGGGGAGCAAGACCAAAGACUGUUGGGGAAAGCGCUCAUUAAGACCCGGGUGAUCAUCGGGGAGUGCUGUCUGCUGGAAUUACAUGUACGCACGUGGCUCCCUAGCUCUGAAAUGUCAUCUAAGCUGGAGAACACAGUGUCAAACCAUCUGUCAGCAAUGGAUAUUUGGGUUAGUCUCUUCUGGAGGAAACAAAGCUGUGAAAAUCCAGUGGCUUCUGCCAGGGGGUUUUGGGACAGCUGAUGGCACGUGGUCUCAUGGGACAGUGAAAUGGCUUGGACACGCCAGGAUGGUGGCCAGAUCUCACCUCCAGCUCUCCCACACCCAGCACAAGCGCUGCUCCGGGUGCAGAAAAUGCUGCCAGGUACCCAAAAUCAAUCAGGAGUGAGUCACGCGCGUGACGCUGUUAUUAUUGUUAUUUUUUCCAGCGGCACCGUGUUCCCAUGGAGAACAGAGGCUUCCCAGCACAAACACAGCCCCAGCGCUGCUCCGCUGCAGCCCCUCUCCAGGUACCCGGAUGGGAGGCGAGGAUGAGAACGGACCAGGCUGUUCUCACCUCACGUGUAUUCAUUUCACGGUUAACAGGGAAACCAAGCACUUCAUUUUUCUGCUCUUUUGGGCCCUUGAAGGAUGGUUUUCUUGCUUCCUUCCCAAGGCUCAAGCAGCAAUAAAUUGCUUUGCAUUAUCAUGGUGCUUCAUGCAAAUGGUUAACCUUGAUUUCGGUACACGCUACACAACGCCACCUUCCCAGCAAGGUCGAAUUCCAAAUAAUCCUUCAAGGAGGAAUGAAAUAAAGUCGGUGCUGUUCCUGGAGCCCUGGCCCACAAAGACUUUGUCUCCAUCUC